Molecule: unclassified non-coding RNA, 334 nt
Filed under: soil metagenome
Description: partial contains 5.8S ribosomal RNA, internal transcribed spacer 2, and large subunit ribosomal RNA
Rfam family: 5.8S ribosomal RNA (bases 1-120)
Source: RNAcentral
GAUGAAGAACGUAGCGAAAUGCGAUAAGUAAUGUGAAUUCCAGAAUUCAGUGAAUCAUCGAAUCUUUGAACGCACAUUGCGCCCGCCAGUAUUCUGGCGGGCAUGCCUGUUCGAGCGUCAUUUCAACCAUCAAGCCCCGGGCUUGUGUUGGGGACCUGCGGCUGCCGCAGGCCCUGAAAUGCAGUGGCGGGCUCGCUGUCACUCCGAGCGUAGUAGUUACAUCUCGCUCUGGGCGUGCUGCGGGUUCCGGCCGUUAAAAGCCUUAUUUACCCAAGGUUGACCUCGGAUCAGGUAGGAAGACCCGCUGAACUUAAGCAUAUCAAUAAGCGGAGGA